CAGUAGCCGCGGUAAUACGAAGGGUGCAAGCGUUAAUCGGAAUUACUGGGCGUAAAGCGUGCGUAGGCGGUGAGUUAAGUCUGCUGUGAAAUCCCCGGGCUCAACCUGGGAAUGGCAGUGGAUACUGGCUCACUAGAGUGUGGUAGAGGAUAGUGGAAUUUCCGGUGUAGCAGUGAAAUGCGUAGAGAUCGGAAGGAACAUCUGUGGCGAAGGCGACUAUCUGGGCCAACACUGACACUGAGGCACGAAAGCGUGGGGAGCAAACAGGAUUAGAUACCCCUGUAGUCCCUGUCUCUUAUAC
RNAcentral lists this ribosomal RNA (301 nucleotides) under uncultured bacterium. RNAcentral describes it as "partial 16S ribosomal RNA". It matches the Rfam family "Bacterial small subunit ribosomal RNA", at positions 509 to 807 of the family's 1533-position model. The record is from RNAcentral.